UGGCUCAGUGGUAGAGCAUGGUGUGUGCAACGCCAGGGUUGUGGGUUCGAUUCCCAU
RNAcentral lists this transfer RNA (57 nucleotides) under Salmo salar (Atlantic salmon). It matches the Rfam family "tRNA", at positions 8 to 63 of the family's 71-position model. Rfam says of the family: Transfer RNA (tRNA) molecules are approximately 80 nucleotides in length. Their secondary structure includes four short double-helical elements and three loops (D, anti-codon, and T loops). The record is from Rfam by way of RNAcentral. Lineage: Eukaryota; Metazoa; Chordata; Actinopteri; Salmoniformes; Salmonidae.